GGACGGGUGAGUAAUGCCUGGGAAAUUCCCUGAUGUGGGGGAUAACCAUUGGAAACGAUGGCUAAUACCGCAUAGUAGCUUCGGCUUAAAGAGGGGGACCUUCGGGCCUCUCGCGUCAGGAUAUGCCCAGGUGGGAUUAGCUAGUUGGUGGGGUAAAGGCUCACCAAGGCGACGAUCUCUAGCUGGUCUGAGAGGAUGAUCAGCCACACUGGAACUGAGACACGGUCCAGACUCCUACGGGAGGCAGCAGUGGGGAAUAUUGCACAAUGGGCGCAAGCCUGGUGCAGCCAUGCCGCGUGUAUGAAGAAGGCCUUCGGGUUGUAAAGUACUUUCAGUGGUGAGGAAGGGAGUAUGUUUAAUAGGCAUAUUGCUUGACGUUAGCCACAGAAGAAGCACCGGCUAACUCCGUGCCAGCAGCCGCGGUAAUACGGAGGGUGCGAGCGUUAAUCGGAAUUACUGGGCGUAAAGCGCAUGCAGGUGGUCUGUUAAGUCAGAUGUGAAAGCCCGGGGCUUAACCUCGGAAUAGCAUUUGAAACUGUCAGACUAGAAUACUGUAGAGGGGGGUAGAAUUUCAGGUUAGCGGUGAAAUGCGUAGAGAUCUGAAGGAAUACCAGUGGCGAAGGCGGCCCCCUGGACAGAUACUGACACUCAGAUGCGAAAGCGUGGGGAGCAAACAGGAUUAGAUACCCUGGUAGUCCACGCCGUAAACGAUGUCUACUUGGAGGUUUUGGCCUUGAGCCGUGGCUUUCGGAGCUAACGCGUUAAGUAGACCGCCUGGGGAGUACGGUCGCAAGAUUAAAACUCAAAUGAAUUGACGGGGGCCCGCACAAGCGGUGGAGCAUGUGGUUUAAUUCGAUGCAACGCGAAGAACCUUACCUACUCUUGACAUCUACAGAAGCCUGCGGAGACGCGGGUGUGCCUUCGGGAACUGUAAGACAGGUGCUGCAUGGCUGUCGUCAGCUCGUGUUGUGAAAUGUUGGGUUAAGUCCCGCAACGAGCGCAACCCUUAUCCUUGUUUGCCAGCACGUUAUGGUGGGAACUCCAGGGACACUGCCGGUGAUAAACCGAAGGAAGGUGGGGACGACGUCAAGUCAUCAUGGCCCUUACGAGUAGGGCUACACACGUGCUACAAUGGCGCAUACAGAGGGCGGCCAACUUGCGAAAGUGAGCGAAUCCCAAAAAGUGCGUCGUAGUCCGGAUUGGAGUCUGCAACUCGACUCCAUGAAGUCGGAAUCGCUAGUAAUCGUGGAUCAGAAUGCCACGGUGAAUACGUUCCCGGGCCUUGUACACACCGCCCGUCACACCAUGGGAGUGGGCUGCAAAAGAAGUAGGUAGUUUAACCUUCGGGGGGACGCUUACCACUUUGUGGUUCAUGACUGGGGUGAAGUCGAAACAAGGUA
This 1400-nucleotide ribosomal RNA is filed under the name metagenome. Its description in RNAcentral is "bacterial SSU rRNA". It matches the Rfam family "Bacterial small subunit ribosomal RNA". The record is from RNAcentral.